This is a long non-coding RNA of Ctenopharyngodon idella (grass carp), 1115 nucleotides long. RefSeq lists it as uncharacterized. The record is from RefSeq and is a predicted model, not a curated record. Lineage: Eukaryota; Metazoa; Chordata; Actinopteri; Cypriniformes; Xenocyprididae. The transcript is spliced from 4 exons.
UUGCGUACGUCGUCGCUGUGAGGCAGACGUGUCAGGGGAAUACUGAAGAAUGUCUUUUUUUGGGGUCUGUUGUGAUUUUACUCCCCACCUUUUCUCCGUAAUCCUCCCUCUAGGUUAUACAUAGCUGACAGCAUGGAGCUCUGAAUAGCCACUAAUAACCAGUGGGACCAGAAUGCAGAGGAAGAGAAAACAUGUGCUUUCCACUGAUCCAGAGUAGCAACAGUCCACAGUUAUGAAUAUCUUGCGCGGACGUGAAUCAGAGUCCCAGACGUUGAGGUUUUCUCUGUUGAAAAUACAUCAUCUUUUUGGUACUGAUUGGAACGCCGACCAUGGAAAAUCCACAAAGUGCUCUCUGAAGUGUACUUCUCUAAGGGACAAAAUGACAUCAGAGGAUGAAGAGGAAGAUUCAGUUCUUCAGCCUAAUGCUUUCACCAUCAUUACUCACAGCCUCUCUCUCUAUCUUACUUUUUCGACACUCUCCUUUAAUGGCGGAAAAAAGUUGCCUCUCUGCUGUUUUUUUUUUCUUUUUUCUUUUCAGAAUGCCUCUCGGGGAGGCCUCCAGGAAAUGACCAUUUAGAGGCAUAACUUUAGCCAUGUUUCAAGAGCCGUGCAGCUGAGGGGAACUAUCUAUAGAUGACUUCAGAGCCAUGAUACACGUCACAUCACCACUGUCCUUCAGCGCUCGUGGCAACAAGGCACCCUUUGUAAUAAACAGGUCUGCAGAAAGGCUUACACUGAGCUGAAUCACGCUGCGGUUGGAUUUACCCUGGACAACAAAGACCAUGCGGGUGGCUUUCUAGACUCUGGUCUCCACGGUUGUUUCACUUUCCCUCUGGCCCACAUUGCUACGGGUGCGUUUGUGCUGAUAACCAUGAAGUGACACCAACAUGAUCUUACAUGCUUUUCAUCACUCAGAUUUUGCUGGGAUGGCCAAGAGUUAUGAAUUAUGUGAUGUCUUGAUUCAAAACACAUAUUUACAUAUUCUACAUAUUGGUUUUAAAUGUAUAUAAUUUUUUAGGAAUAUAGUCAAGCACGCUUUUGCAUUCUACAGAGAUUGCCCUUCAAAAUGAUUCAAUACAAAUAAAAUUAAAUAAUGUGGUUUUGUAAGACAAAAA